RNAcentral lists this ribosomal RNA (465 nucleotides) under Vreelandella stevensii. Its description in RNAcentral is "partial 16S ribosomal RNA". It matches the Rfam family "Bacterial small subunit ribosomal RNA", at positions 338 to 795 of the family's 1533-position model. The record is from RNAcentral. Lineage: Bacteria; Pseudomonadati; Pseudomonadota; Gammaproteobacteria; Oceanospirillales; Halomonadaceae.
CCUACGGGUGGCUGCAGUGGGGAAUAUUGGACAAUGGGCGAAAGCCUGAUCCUGCCAUGCCGCGUGUGUGAAGAAGGCCUUCGGGUUGUAAAGCACUUUCAGUGGGGAAGAAAGCCUUGGGGCUAAUACCCUCGAGGAAGGACAUCACCCACAGAAGAAGCACCGGCUAACUCCGUGCCAGCAGCCGCGGUAAUACGGAGGGUGCGAGCGUUAAUCGGAAUUACUGGGCGUAAAGCGCGCGUAGGCGGUCUGAUAAGCCGGUUGUGAAAGCCCCGGGCUCAACCUGGGAACGGCAUCCGGAACUGUCAGGCUAGAGUGCAGGAGAGGAAGGUAGAAUUCCCGGUGUAGCGGUGAAAUGCGUAGAGAUCGGGAGGAAUACCAGUGGCGAAGGCGGCCUUCUGGACUGACACUGACGCUGAGGUGCGAAAGCGUGGGUAGCAAACAGGAUUAGAUACCCCGGUAGUC